RNAcentral lists this ribosomal RNA (603 nucleotides) under Triticum aestivum (bread wheat). Its description in RNAcentral is "partial small subunit ribosomal RNA". The record is from RNAcentral. Lineage: Eukaryota; Viridiplantae; Streptophyta; Magnoliopsida; Poales; Poaceae.
AUGAACCUGGACGCGGUCCGGCAUCGACGUCGUGCUCCAGGGGAGGGGAAGGAGCUAGCUGAGAUGGACGUUGGGCACGUUGCACUGCACAGAGAGCAUGGAAAAUGUAGUGAUCCGCAUUUCGAGAGGAUAUGCGUCGCCUAUUACACGUUACUUUACUUUGCAUCAACCAGUCACGACGCCGGGAAAGGGGAAUAUGCGCUCUCAGGAAGGGGGCGAAUCAGUCGUUUUUCUGCAGGCAGGCCCGAGCGAUGCAACCUGAGGCACGUGGGUGUGGGCGGUUGCACACGCGGAGGUGGUCUCAAGGCGUUGCGUUGUUUCUUGAAGGAGUUGGGGAUGUGGUUCAUGGCGAUGGAGAGGUGGUGGCAGAGCCCAGAGAGAAGGGCAAGGAGGUGGUGCCGCCCUUGGAGGAUGACGUGGUGUAGGAGCCCUCCAGCGGGGUCGGUCCCCCCUCGCCGCCAUCCACCAAAUCAGGAUUGGCACACGGUCACAUUCAAGCUACUGACCCCCGUCACCCUGAAGGUGAUCUUCUUCAACGACGAUGGCGUGGAGGUGGUCGCCAAGUGCAAGAAACACGAUGACGUCUGCGCCGUGAACGUAUAG